Molecule: long non-coding RNA, 4411 nt
Organism: Cornus florida
Lineage: Eukaryota; Viridiplantae; Streptophyta; Magnoliopsida; Cornales; Cornaceae
Exons: 2
Source: RefSeq, a predicted model, not a curated record
AUAACAAUAAAAUUGGACCAAACUACUCUCAAACCACUGACUCUCCAUUCUCUCUCUCUCUCUCUCUAGCACUUCACCACUCCUCUGCCACCAUCCCAUCUGCGAUCAAAUUCAUGUUCUUUUUCUAUUCCGAAGUGUCACACCUCUCUUGUCUCUCACUAUUUCCAAGCAUCAGGUUGACGCGCACCCAGACGCAGCCGCUAGUAGAUGGUAUUGUCGGUCAACAAUUGCCAAACCCUAGAAUGCAUUUUUAAGCCGCAGACACACACCUAAGUUGUUCCGUCUAUAUAUAUAUAGCGAACCAAAUGAUACUCGUAAUCUCUAUCGUGGGGGAAGUGAUGAGCAACUUCAUACAGAGUUGGUUUGGCUUGUUUUAGAUCGUCUUCUUGGCAACCAUACGAAUUCUACGAAGCAUAAGAUUAAUAUUGAUCUUUUGUCUUAAUGUCUUCCCUAAGACAAUUAUGUUUUUCAUAAGUUGAUAUAUUUGUAGCAUUAGUUUGAUUGCAUUGGAUCUAGUAAUUUUGAUUAAUGGUGGUCUUGGGACAGGCAAAAGAGACGCUUGCUGCAACAUGUAAUUUUGAUUAUGUUUUUAUUAUUCAAGGUUGUGACAUUUAGGCAAAGCAUGUAGUAAAGAUUACAUUGUUACUUUUUUGUUUAUACAGAAAUGGUAGGCGCAGUUGUUUGGCAACAAUGGUAGCAACUUGUUGCACAAGUGAAUGGAAGCUUUACACUAUUUGAGUAGUUUAUUGUAAACAAAAAAUUAAACUGAGAUGCCCUUUCAUGCUGUGUUCUUGGGUGGUUUGGGACUAUGUGAUCUUUGCCAAUCACAAAAUACACCAAAUGUGUCGGCUUUUGUGAUUGGCCGAGACCACAUGAUUACGUACUACCUAAUACUUUCUAGAUCCUCAAUAUCUUUAUAUACCUAAUACUUUCUUGAUCCUCAAUAUCUUUAUAUAUGAAACUUUUUCAAGAUCUACACAUGGCAUUUAAUGUGAUAAAUUAACUGAAAUUCUAGUAAAGAAAAUGAUUCUUAGUGUUAUGCCAAUUUGUCUAACUUAAGGAUUCUUAUCCCUUCGAUGUAGUGGAUAAGACCCACAUUUGAGUUUAUCCACCAUAUCAAUGGGAUAAAAACCCCUCAGGCUUGACAGUUCAGCCUAACAAAUAGACCCCUCAGGCUUGACAGUUCAGCCUAACAAAUAGGCUGAGUAUCAGUACUCUUCUAGCAAAGCUUGUCCCACUGUCAAUAAUCAACUUCACUUAUUUUUCAUUACAGUCAUACAAGAAAAGUACUAAAACAUUAACAAAAAUAAUAAUAAUAAAAUUAAUGUUACUAUUAUUAAUAAUAUCGUGGAGUGGAUAGAUAAGGCUAUUUAUUUAUUCAAUUUGUAUAUUUACAUUUUAAAAAAGAAGUAUACAACAUAAAUUAUUGUGGUCUACUCAUAAUAUCGUCUCUAGUUGUUUACUUUUCUUUAUCUUUGAUUAUUAAGUUUAUUUUUCAGUUUUAAAAAGUAUUUUCAUUUAAAUUUCUACUUUUGUGGUCUAAUUUUCUAUUUAUUUGGAGAGUGAAAUAGUCUGAGAUUUUUGUUGCAUAUGGUAGGAAAUAAGUUUUUAUUAUUUGGUACAAGAGAAAUUGAAAAGAAGAGUUGAAGAGAGAAUAAAGGAAAAUUAUAAAUACAGUAUAUUAGUUAAAAUGUUUAUCUCUUUACUAUGAUUAUUUCCAUCUUCCAAGCAUUAGGUAGACGAAUACCCGAAAGCAGUAUGCGGUAUUUUUGGUCAACAAUUGCAAAACCCUAGACUGCAUUCGGUCAACCAUUGCAAAACCCUAGAAUGCAUUUUUAAGCUGCAUUCACAUAGCGAAGUUGUUCUGUCUAUAUAUAGCGAACCAACAGGUACCCGUAAGUCUCUCUCUCUCUCGUCGGGGAAGUGAUGAGCAACUUCAUACCGGUAUGUCAUAAUUCAUACAUAUAUAUGUUUAUAUAUCUAUGUAUGUAUUUGUGUAUAUUUUGCCUCUCCUUUCAGCUGCAAAGGCAUAGAUCUGAUGAUCUGUUUCUUGAUGGCUUUGUUCUAGAGGCAUAUAUUUAAUCUCCAAAGUUUAUGGAGUUUAAACCAGAGCUGUGGUUCUUGCUACUUUGGUCUCCCCUUAUUUGGUACAUUUCCAUUAGAAAAUUAAUUUAUUUUGCUUUACUGUAGUAGCUUUGUGUUGCCUAGAUAUUGCAUGAAAUUAAUAUUUAUAUUAAUUUUAUAUCUAAACAGAGUUGGGUUGUCUUUGUUUUACAUCCCCAUUAAUUUUCUAAGUCUUCUUGGCAACUAUAUGAAGUAUAAGAUUAAUAUGGAUCAUUUGUCUUGAUGUCUACCCUAAAACCAUCAUGUUUCUCAUAAGUUGAUAUAUUUGCAGCAUUACUUUGAUUGCAUUGGAUCUAGUAAUUUUGAUUAAUACCUGUCUUGGGACAAGCAAAAGAGACACUUGCAUCAGCAUGUAAUUUUGAUUAUGUUUUUAUUAUUCAAGGUUGUGACAUUUAGGCAAAGCAUGUAGUAAAGAUUGCAUUGUUACUUUUUUGUUUAUAGAGAAAUGCCAGGCGCAGUUGUUUGGCAACUAUGGUAGCAACUUGCCGCACAAGUGAAUCGAAGCUUUACGCUAUUUGAGUCUUUUAUUGUAAACAAAAAAUUAAAAUGAGAUGCCCUUUCAUGCUAUUCCUAAAAUCCUUAGUGAGAAAUUAUUAGGUGGUUUGGGACCAUAUGGUCUUUGCCAAUCAGAGGAUGCACCAAAUGUAUCAGCAUCUUGUGAUUGGCCAGGACCACAUGAUUCCGGAUUACCUAAUAAUUUCUAUAUUCUCAAUCUUUAUAUAUAAACCUAUUUGUUAGGCCAAUUUGUCUAUCUCAAGGAUUAUUAUUCCUUUGAUGUAGUGAAUAGGACUCACAUUUGAGUUUAUUAACCAAGGAUAAGAAUCCCUUUAACUUGACAAUAAUCAACUUCACUUAUUUUUCAUUACAGUCAUACAAGAAAAGUGCUAAAACACUAACUAAAAUAAUAAUAAAAUUAAUGUUUUACAUAAUUGUAUUAUUAAUAAUAGGCUAAAAGCAUAGAGUGGAUAGAGAUAAUUUAAAUGAGUAUUAAGUCAAUCCGUACACAAAUAUUCUAGGAAUAAUGACUAUUUUAAUGUGUUCUUUUAUGCAGUUAUUUGCAAACUUAUUUGACUAAUGCCAUGCACUCCUACAUUAAAAAAAUAUAUAUAUCAUAAUACCUGAAAAUCACAUUAAAUGCCAUGAGUGUUCUAAACUAUUUUAUGUUUGAUAAUAUCUUUUAGAAAUAAUAUUUGAUUAAUUAUUGUAAAUUUAAAACCCUGUUAUUGGAUUUGGUUGGAAGGUAGAAUUUAGAGAGAGAGUGAAGAGUUAAACACAGAAUGAACGUGUGUUGAGCUAUCUUUUACAAUGUUAGUAAUGGUGGCAGUAUAUUUAAUUUAUCAAAUUGAAAGUGCAUGUCAAUUUUGAACUUUUGUUUUAUUCAUAAACUCAAAGUAAGGUGCUUGUGUUCUUAACUGGUGUUGCGAGUGUGAUGCCACCGUUGUUAAGCAAUUCUGGCUAGCAUUUCUCUUAUUUAUAAUGCAAAAUUCUAUGAACAUCUUUGCCUUGUUUUUAGAUUUGUGCUUUCCCUGACAUUGUGGAUUUUAAUUCUUUUCAAACAUAAGCCUAUGUUAGUCUCAAAGUCACUACGUAAACUGUUUGUUACAACAUAAAAAAAGGACCGGGAUACAUAAAAUUGAAAGUCCUUGAAAUUCUCUUAAGUUGAUCCAUUAUCAAUUUAUUCUUAAUGUUGUUACACAAGCCUCUCCUUUCGGCUGCAAGGACAGAGAUCUGAGUAGGAUCAAUUUAUUGAUGGCUUGUUCUGAAGGCAUAUAUUAGUCUCAUCCAAAUUCUUGCGGUUUAAUUUUAUCUGGAGUUUGUGACCUUCCUUUUGUUUCUUCCCUUUAUUUGUUAUUAAUUUUUUAAUAGAUAUAUGGUUUCUCUUGUCUUUUUAUUUUUAUUUUUUAUUAUUAGAUAUAUAUUGAUAAUUUUUAGUAAAAACAUUUCUCUGUCUACGUUCUACUCAUAGUUGCCGGAAAGUUGGAGUAAUAUGAGAUCUUGAAGCGUUUUAGUAUGUCAAGGAAGUUAGCAUGUCAAGUUAGCCUUAGUUUUGGAUAAUAUGAUUCUUGAUGUUUGCUUUCCAGGAUAUAAUGCUAAAUGUUAGUUUGGAGAAUAUAAAGCUAAAUGAUUACGUUUAAUGUUUAUUACCAUAAUAGUGUUUUGGUAAGUUUCUACCUUGUGUGGUUGUUUGGGUUGGAAACAUUUGUUUCCUUAAUAUAUGUAAUAGUUUUUGGAAAACAUUGUCUUCAUGAAUCUAUCUUACUAGCCUACUAUUCUAUUGAGUUGGUAA